This 235-nucleotide ribosomal RNA is filed under the name uncultured bacterium. RNAcentral's name for it is "partial 16S ribosomal RNA". It matches the Rfam family "Bacterial small subunit ribosomal RNA", at positions 99 to 334 of the family's 1533-position model. The record is from RNAcentral.
CGGACGGGUGAGUAACGCGUGGGUAACCUGCCUCAUACAGGGGGAUAACGGUUAGAAAUGACUGCUAAUACCGCAUAAGCGCACAGUACCGCAUGGUACGGUGUGAAAAACUCCGGUGGUAUGAGAUGGACCCGCGUCUGAUUAGCUAGUUGGUGAGGUAACGGCCCACCAAGGCGACGAUCAGUAGCCGACCUGAGAGGGUGAUCGGCCACAUUGGGACUGAGACACGGCCCAG